Homo sapiens (human) is the source of this 1192-nucleotide long non-coding RNA. NCBI's taxonomy places the organism in Eukaryota, Metazoa, Chordata, Mammalia, Primates, Hominidae. The record is from Ensembl.
GGGGCCCAACGGCAGGGGCUUGGGCAGGAGCAAGGUCCGAGGGCUGCCAGGUCCACGCUGCUUUUAUGAGCUGUAACACUCACCGCGAAGAUCUGCAGCUUCACUCCUGAGCCCAGCGAGACCACGAGCCCACCGGGAGGAACAAACAACUCCAGACGCGCUGCCUUAAGAGCUGUAACACUUGCCGUGAAGGUCUGCAGCUUCACUCCUGAGCCAGCGAGACCACGAACCCACCAGAAGGAAGAAACUCCGAACACAUCUCAACAUCAGAACGGACAGACUCCAGACGCACCACCUUAAGAGCUGUAACACUCACCGCGAGGUUCCGCGGCUUCAUUCUUGAAGUUCGUGAGCCACACAUCUCCCCACACCAAGCUCCUCCAUACAAGACCUCGGACUGCAUCACGUAAAUGCUUUUUCAGGGGCAAAAUCUAGAGAAUCUGAAACGAGCUAUCAGCUUCCCAGUUUGCACAAUUCAUCAAGAAAUUAUGCGGGGUCACUGGCACAAAUGAUGAGGCAUCUCCUGGAAGCUUAACUUCUUAUCCAUCCCAUCUCUUGGACAGAUGAUGCCAGUUAAUUACUUUGAAUGUGCUCACCUUCUAGCACAUUCUUCAAGAGUUACUCUGAGGCAAGCCAGCCGCCAUGUCAUGAGGACACUCAAGCAGCACCAUGGAGAGGUCCGAUGGCGAGGAACAGAGGAUCCCCCUGCCGACAGCCAAUGAGGAACAGGCCUCCUGCCAACAGCCGUGUAAGGGGUCACCUUGGAAGCCAAUGGCCCCUCCCUGGUCAGGCUUUUACAUGACUGCAGUCCUGGCCAACAUCCUGACGGCAACCUCAUGAGAGACCUUGAGCCAGAGCCACCCACCUAAGCUGCUUAUAGGUUCCUGGCCCUCAGAAAUCACAUGAGAUCAUAAAUGUUUGCUCAAUUUGAGAUAUUUGUGAUGUAGCAAUAAAUAACAAACACACUUACCUUUCAGGGUUAUUAUGAGAAUUAAGAGUUAAUACACAUCAAACUACAACCAAACUUGCUGGGACCAGAGGCUCAAGAAAGGGCAGACAGGGCCGGGUGCAGUGGCUCAUGCCUGUAAUCCCAAUACUUUGGGAGGCCGAGGCAGGUGGAUCAUCUGAGGUCAGGAGUUCGAGACCAGCUGGCCAACAUGGUGAAACCCUGUGUCUACUAAAAAUACAAAAA